CAUUACUGAUUCUGCCUGGCGUGUCCGCUAACGCGUUGACUCGCUGGGAUUGACCCCUUGUGCAGAACCUUUGUGGUUUGGGCUGGGAAACCGGCCCUAUAGAAAACACUUUGAACCUAGAGUAAGCCUUAAGAGCAAACCGAAACAACUUUUGACAACGGAUCUCUUGGCUCUCGCAACGAUGAAGAACGCAGCGAAAUGCGAUACGUGAUGUGAAUUGCAGAAUCUCGUGAAUCAUCGAAUCUUUGAACGCACCUUGCACUCUAUUCUGUAGAGUAUGCCUGUUUGAGAAUCUAAUGUAUCUAUUCCCUCUUGGGAGUCUUGAGGCUUCUCUGCGGAGUGUCUUGAAUUGCCUUACCUGGCCGGCUCGACUGAACCGUAUAUGCAUGGAGCUUCGGCUUCUUAGUAUGCUUACUAUGCGAGCCAUCACCAGUCAUUAACAACCUUUCGGGGUGAACCAUGGUCUCAAAUCAGGUAGGACUACCCGCUGAACUUAAGCAUAUCAAUAA
This 509-nucleotide ribosomal RNA is filed under the name Rhizophydiales sp. 1 MV-2011. RNAcentral's name for it is "eukaryotic LSU rRNA". The stretch from base 147 to 295 matches the Rfam family "5.8S ribosomal RNA". Lineage: Eukaryota; Fungi; Chytridiomycota; Chytridiomycetes; Rhizophydiales. The record is from RNAcentral.